UUUAAAAAAUUUAUUUGUUUGCAAUUGUUUAUUUGAUGGAAAGCCAAUUGUUUCAUAACUAGAAUUCUUUCACACUGACUGUUUCUAAAGCAAAUGGCAAAGGAUUUGAUGGUUGAUACCUGAGAUCCCGAGUUCGAAUUCUAGUUGUUUUACAUUUCCGGUUAAAUUUAUUUUCAAAUAAAAUAAACGAAGCUGGUAACGUGCUACCUAUAUCUCAAAAAAAAAAAAAAUUCUUUCACUUUUUUUUACUGAUCUUUUAAUUUUUAUAUUUUUUC
This 275-nucleotide long non-coding RNA is filed under the name Ananas comosus (pineapple). RNAcentral's name for it is "long non-coding RNA (ACOM_LNC015705)". The record is from RNAcentral. Lineage: Eukaryota; Viridiplantae; Streptophyta; Magnoliopsida; Poales; Bromeliaceae.